AAACAACCACAUGGGACAUAUUUUUGGCUUUGGCCCACCCCAACCCCCCCCCCCCCUCUCUCUCUCUGCCUUACUUCCCUUGGUAUGGCUGGAGCCUGGAGCCCAGUUUGGGAAAUUAUAAAAGAUACUGUCAGUGGGAAAGCAAUUGCUAAGUAAUGCCAAAUUUAAAAUUAGGAUACAAAACUGUAGCUCCCAAAUGAUCUCAGGUAUAUCCAAAUAUAUGUUAACUGUACAGUUAUAUAAAAUUAGAAACCUUAAUAAUAGUUCUCUCUAGGUGGUGAUACUUGGGUGAUUUUUCCUCAUACUUUUCUGCAUGUGUAAUUCCCCAACCAUAAAUAUUGCUCUCAUAAUUAGGUAAAUAUCAUUGUUUUUCUUCUCUCUCUCUCUUAAUCAGCGUCACAGAGGAAGAUGCUGUUACAACAGCUGGUGCUGUUCGCCGUCUUUAGAAGGAGCAAACCUUCCAAGAGCUGUUUUUCUUUACAUCAAGAAGUGCAUUUCUCACUGGUGGGCAAGAGAGCCCCGCGAAGGGAAACAGCCCUGCUUUGGGAAGAGGAGUACUCACCCCACCGUGAAGAAUGGCAGGGUAUCUCAGGUAGGAGGUCUUUGGAGAAGAUGAGACCAAGCUGAAGGCCCCAGGGACUCCGGGCUGCCUGGCUUCCCGCGCCACCUCGUGCCCCCUUUCCCCCAUCACUGACUGGGCUCUGGCCUGGGUGGCCUCUCCUCAUUCCUCCAACCCACACCAGCCUCUCUGGGUCACUGAUUUGAAGUCCCUGCUCUUCCGAGAGCCCUGCCCUGAGGAGUCCACCUAAAUUGCUACGGGCACGCCCCCCCCCGCCCACAGCCACUCUCCAGCCUUUCCCCGGGCUUGAGUUGUCUUCAUACCGCCUGUCUUCCUCUGAAGUUUUAUAAAAACGCGCCCUAUUUCGCUUGUUGCUUAUCUCCGCUCUGGCAGGAGGGAAGCUCACGGAAAGAAGGAAACCCAUCCUGUUGACCGGUGGUUAGUCUUCACGUGGAUCGCUGCCGGGUAUAGUUGGCUUGCGGUAAACAGUUGGGCCAUCAGUGGACGAACAGACAGGUCAUCGCCCUCCCCCGCGCCGUGAAGGUGAUUUUGUGGCAGCUGGACUGUGCCUCACUCAGGUGCCGUAACUCCCGAGUCCAGUGUCACUGCCUUUCCCUUUGGUCGCCCUCGUCCGCCUCCAUGAUCACUGCCCAGCAGCACUGCCUCCCACUCACGUCACUUGCUGUCACUUUGUCUAGGUCAUUUCCUUCAACCUUUCCUCUGGGGAGUCCCCUUAGAGCCUCAGCCUUUUUCUGGGCAUCUCCACUGUGCUCUUUUAAUUAAAAAAAAAAAAUGUUUUUGGCUAGCUUUAUUAAGGUGGAAAUGGCAAACCGAAGUUGUAUAAGUUUAGGUUGUACAGUGUGAUUUUUUUGAAGGUGUACAAUGUGAUGACUUCAUAUAUGUAUACAUUUUUCAGUGGCGAGAACACUUAAGAUCUACUCUCGGCAGAUUUCAAGCAUACAAUAUAGUUUUAUUUACUGUAGUCACCCUGCUGUACCUUAGGACCCCCCAAUAUAUUCUUCUUAUAACUGAGUUUGUUCUCUUUAGCCAACAUUUCCCCGUAUCUCC
This 1627-nucleotide long non-coding RNA is filed under the name Felis catus (domestic cat). RNAcentral describes it as "lncRNA (ENSFCAG00000041832.2)". Lineage: Eukaryota; Metazoa; Chordata; Mammalia; Carnivora; Felidae. The record is from RNAcentral.